RNAcentral lists this ribosomal RNA (280 nucleotides) under Stenotrophomonas sp. S1-1. RNAcentral's name for it is "partial 16S ribosomal RNA". It matches the Rfam family "Bacterial small subunit ribosomal RNA", at positions 75 to 355 of the family's 1533-position model. The record is from RNAcentral. Lineage: Bacteria; Pseudomonadati; Pseudomonadota; Gammaproteobacteria; Lysobacterales; Lysobacteraceae.
AGAGCUUGCUCUCUGGGUGGCGAGUGGCGGACGGGUGAGGAAUACAUCGGAAUCUACUCUGUCGUGGGGGAUAACGUAGGGAAACUUACGCUAAUACCGCAUACGACCUACGGGUGAAAGCAGGGGACCUUCGGGCCUUGCGCGAUUGAAUGAGCCGAUGUCGGAUUAGCUAGUUGGCGGGGUAAAGGCCCACCANGGCGACGAUCCGUANCUGGUCUGAGAGGAUGAUCANCCACACUGGAACUGAGACACNGUCCAGACUCCUACGGGAGGCAGCAGU